Molecule: transfer RNA, 76 nt
Filed under: Candidatus Acetothermia bacterium
Lineage: Bacteria; Candidatus Bipolaricaulota
Also listed under: 2 other names
Description: tRNA-Phe
Rfam family: tRNA
About the family: Transfer RNA (tRNA) molecules are approximately 80 nucleotides in length. Their secondary structure includes four short double-helical elements and three loops (D, anti-codon, and T loops). Further hydrogen bonds mediate the characteristic L-shaped molecular structure. tRNAs have two regions of fundamental functional importance: the anti-codon, which is responsible for specific mRNA codon recognition, and the 3' end, to which the tRNAs corresponding amino acid is attached (by aminoacyl-tRNA synthetases). tRNAs cope with the degeneracy of the genetic code in two manners: having more than one tRNA (with a specific anti-codon) for a particular amino acid; and 'wobble' base-pairing, i.e. permitting non-standard base-pairing at the 3rd anti-codon position.
Source: RNAcentral
GCCGAGAUAGCUCAGUCGGUAGAGCACAGCCCUGAAAAGGCUGGUGUCCCCAGUUCGAAUCUGGGUCUCGGCACCA